CGGCGGACGGGCGAGUAACACGUGGGUAACCUACCUAUAAGACUGGGACAACUUCGGGAAACCGGAGCUAAUACCGGAUAAGAUAUCGAACCGCAUGGUUCGAUAGUGAAAGAUGGUUUUGCUAUCACUUAUAGAUGGACCCGCGCCGUAUUAGCUAGUUGGUGAGGUAACGGCUCACCAAGGCAACGAUACGUAGCCGACCUGAGAGGGUGAUCGGCCACACUGGAACUGAGACACGGUCCAGACUCCUACGGGAGGCAGCAGUC
This 266-nucleotide ribosomal RNA is filed under the name uncultured Staphylococcus sp. RNAcentral's name for it is "partial 16S ribosomal RNA". It matches the Rfam family "Bacterial small subunit ribosomal RNA", at positions 96 to 355 of the family's 1533-position model. Lineage: Bacteria; Bacillati; Bacillota; Bacilli; Caryophanales; Staphylococcaceae. The record is from RNAcentral.